CCUACGGGAGGCAGCAGUGAGGAAUAUUGGUCAAUGGACGAGAGUCUGAACCAGCCAAGUAGCGUGAAGGAUGACUGCCCUAUGGGUUGUAAACUUCUUUUAUAAAGGAAUAAAACGAGGCACGUGUGCCUUUUUGCAUGUACCUCAUGAAUAAGGAUCGGCUAACUCCGUGCCAGCAGCCGCGGUAAUACGGAGGAUCCGAGCGUUAUCCGGAUUUAUUGGGUUUAAAGGGAGCGUAGAUGGGUUGUUAAGUCAGUUGUGAAAGUUUGCGGCUCAACCGUAAAAUUGCAAUUGAUACUGGCAGUCUUGAGUACACUUGAGGUAGGCGGAAUUCGUGGUGUAGCGGUGAAAUGCUUAGAUAUCACGAAGAACCCCGAUUGCGAAGGCAGCUUACUAAACUGUGACUGACAUUGAUGCUCGAAAGUGUGGGUAUCGAACAGGAUUAGAUACCCUUGUAGUC
This 460-nucleotide ribosomal RNA is filed under the name uncultured bacterium. Its description in RNAcentral is "partial 16S ribosomal RNA". It matches the Rfam family "Bacterial small subunit ribosomal RNA", at positions 338 to 795 of the family's 1533-position model. The record is from RNAcentral.